RNAcentral lists this ribosomal RNA (460 nucleotides) under Streptococcus mitis. Its description in RNAcentral is "bacterial SSU rRNA". It matches the Rfam family "Bacterial small subunit ribosomal RNA", at positions 28 to 472 of the family's 1533-position model. The record is from RNAcentral. Lineage: Bacteria; Bacillati; Bacillota; Bacilli; Lactobacillales; Streptococcaceae.
GACGAACGCUGGCGGCGUGCCUAAUACAUGCAAGUAGAACGCUGAAGGAGGAGCUUGCUUCUCUGGAUGAGUUGCGAACGGGUGAGUAACGCGUAGGUAACCUGCCUGGUAGCGGGGGAUAACUAUUGGAAACGAUAGCUAAUACCGCAUAAGAGUAGAUGUUGCAUGACAUUUGCUUAAAAGGUGCAAUUGCAUCACUACCAGAUGGACCUGCGUUGUAUUAGCUAGUUGGUGAGGUAACGGCUCACCAAGGCAACGAUACAUAGCCGACCUGAGAGGGUGAUCGGCCACACUGGGACUGAGACACGGCCCAGACUCCUACGGGAGGCAGCAGUAGGGAAUCUUCGGCAAUGGACGGAAGUCUGACCGAGCAACGCCGCGUGAGUGAAGAAGGUUUUCGGAUCGUAAAGCUCUGUUGUAAGAGAAGAACGAGUGUGAGAGUGGAAAGUUCACACUGGGA